This 72-nucleotide transfer RNA is filed under the name Macrhybopsis meeki (sicklefin chub). RNAcentral describes it as "tRNA-Glu". It matches the Rfam family "tRNA". From Rfam's summary of the family: Transfer RNA (tRNA) molecules are approximately 80 nucleotides in length. Lineage: Eukaryota; Metazoa; Chordata; Actinopteri; Cypriniformes; Leuciscidae. The record is from RNAcentral.
GUUCCUGUGGUUGAAUUGGUACAACGAUGUUUCUUCAAGUCAUCGGUCUCAGUUAAAAUCUGAGCGGGAAUA